AUUGAACGCUGGCGGCAUGCCUUACACAUGCAAGUCGAACGGCAGCACGGGUGCUUGCACCUGGUGGCGAGUGGCGAACGGGUGAGUACUGCAUCGGAACGUACCUUAUCGUGGGGGAUAACGCAGCGAAAGCUGUGCUAAUACCGCAUACGCCCUGAGGGGGAAAGCGGGGGAUCGCAAGACCUCGCGCGAUUAGAGCGGCCGAUGCCUGAUUAGCUUGUUGGUGGGGUAAAAGCCCACCAAGGCGACGAUCAGUAGCUGGUCUGAGAGGACGAUAAGCCACCCUGGAACUGGGACACGGCCCAGACUCCUACGGGAGGCAGCAGUGGGGAAUUUUGGACAAUGGGGGCAACCCUGAUCCAGCAAUGCCGCGUGAGUGAAGAAGGCCUUCGGGUUGUAAAGCUCUUUUGUCAGGGAAGAAACACCGGCUCUAACACAGUCCGGGAAUGACGGUACCUGAAGAAUAAGCACCGGCUAACUACGUGCCAGCAGCCGCCGCUG
This 501-nucleotide ribosomal RNA is filed under the name uncultured bacterium. Its description in RNAcentral is "partial 16S ribosomal RNA". It matches the Rfam family "Bacterial small subunit ribosomal RNA", at positions 29 to 523 of the family's 1533-position model. The record is from RNAcentral.